Molecule: ribosomal RNA, 97 nt
Filed under: Bacillus sp. ALD
Lineage: Bacteria; Bacillati; Bacillota; Bacilli; Caryophanales; Bacillaceae
Also listed under: 1 other name
Description: partial 16S ribosomal RNA
Rfam family: Bacterial small subunit ribosomal RNA
Source: RNAcentral
UUCUUCGGAGAGUUUGAUCCUGGCUCAGGAUGAACGCUGGCGGCGUGCCUAAUACAUGCAAGUCGAGCGAACUGAUUAGAAGCUUGCUUCUAUGACG